AAGAUGCUGAAGCUGUUCAGAAAUUCUUCCUUGAAGAGAUACAGCUUGGUGAAGAGUUAUAAGCACAAGGUGACUAUGAGAAGGGUGUGGACCACGUGACAAAUGCAAUCGCUGUGUGUGGACAGCCUCAGCAGUUGCUGCAAGUGUUACAACAGACUCUUCCACCACCAGUGUUCCAGAUGCUUCUGACCAAGCUUCCAAACAUUAGUCAGAGAAUUAUCAGUGCUCAGAGCUUGGCUGAAGAUGAUGUGGAAUGAGCCAGACAGCAACAUGAUAAAAUCUCAGUAAAAUAAUUUAACAGUUAGCUUGGAGGCUGAUCUGCUCUCGGGGAAUAAGGGCAAAUUGUGCUUGUCAUGAACUGUCCCACACUGACAUCUCCAAAGUGAACGUGAACUUUUGUAGAGCCAUUGUCUGUUCUAUUUAUUUUUCCAGUGAGAAGUAUUUUGAUAGCUUUUCAUUUUAUAAAUACACUGCGUUAACCAAAAGAUCAUGGAUUUCGUUUGUUCUUAAGACAUGCAGUUCAAUGUAAAUAGAGUAGUAUUGCUUAGGUAGAGACUCCUGGUGAUUUUAAAGGAUUGGAAAAGACUGAGGAAUAGUUGAAUAAUGCACAUUUUAAAGACUAGAACAUUUUAUUGUACGUUGUAAAAUUGAGUAGAAACUUAUGUUUGUGAAAACUGAGCAUUAAAACCUUACAGAGACUGUCUCUUGUUUACUUUAAAAAAUAAUUAAA
This 730-nucleotide long non-coding RNA is filed under the name Rattus norvegicus (Norway rat). RNAcentral describes it as "long non-coding RNA NONRATT020242". The record is from RNAcentral. Lineage: Eukaryota; Metazoa; Chordata; Mammalia; Rodentia; Muridae.